This 925-nucleotide long non-coding RNA is filed under the name Ornithorhynchus anatinus (platypus). Its description in RNAcentral is "lncRNA (ENSOANG00000049673.1)". Lineage: Eukaryota; Metazoa; Chordata; Mammalia; Monotremata; Ornithorhynchidae. The record is from RNAcentral.
AUGAAUGAACCCAGGACCGUCCCAUCCCCCGCAGGUGCUGCCCGGUACCUUGUGUCAGGGGCAAGGGGAGCGCAGAGACCCGCUUUCGGGAGACCCCGGCCCGGCCGCCGCCACGGCCCCCCAAGACAACAGCCACGGAUCACACCUAUGAGGUGGUCGGGGAGGCGACCGGACCCCGGGGGCCGGAGCCGGGACCGGACGAGGGGCUGCACUACGCGGAGAUCCGGCUGGGCGGCGGGGACCGGCCCGACCCCGACCCCGACCCCGACCCCGACCCCAAGAAGCCCCCGCGCCCGGCCCAUGCCGCCCAGACCGAGUACGCCCACAUCCGCUGCUCUCCGGACCCCCGGACCGCCCGGACCCCCCGGCCGGUCAGCAGCAGCGCCGGGACUCUGGUCUGAGCCCGGACGGACGAGAAGGACACGUCGGGCCCGAGACCUCCGCCCGCCGGCGGGUCGGUGGGGACGGGACCCCUGCCGAGGCCUGGGGACGGGGGCGCAGCACUGUCCCGGGACCCCCCGGCUGGAAGCUGAGCUUCCCGGAGUCCAGCUCGGGGCGGGGGGGGGGGCGGCGGCGCGGGCUGGUGACCGGGGGGGGGGUCGGUAGGGGGGUCCGGGAGGACCGGCCGGCCGCCGUCCGGGACGGAGGGUCCGGAGCCGGGGAGCUCCCCGCGGAGGGGCAAUAAACGGGGCUCGGAGCCUCCCGAGGGUGUGGCUGCCGUCUUUUCGACCGGCGCGGAGGCGGGUCCGACGGCUGGAACCUGGACCCGGACCUGGACCCGGAGCAGGACCCGGGGCCGGAGUCCGGGAGGGCGCGGAAGGGGGGGGGAGGGGAGGGGAGGGGGACCGAGGCGCCGGGGGGAGGGCGAGGUCAGCUCGGGUGAGCGAGGGGGCGGGGCCUGGGUGGGGGCGUGGUCAGCGCGCGA